GAUGAACGCUAGCGGGAGGCCUAACACAUGCAAGCCGAGCGGUAGAGUUUCUUCGGAAACUUGAGAGCGGCGCACGGGUGCGUAACACGUGUGCAACCUACCUUUAUCUGGGGGAUAGCCUUUCGAAAGGAAGAUUAAUACCCCAUAAUAUAAUGAUUGGCAUCAAUUAUUAUUGAAAACUCCGGUGGAUAGAGAUGGGCACGCGCAAGAUUAGAUAGUUGGUGAGGUAACGGCUCACCAAGUCAAUGAUCUUUAGGGGUCCUGAGAGGGAGAUCCCCCAGACUGGUACUGAGACACGGACCAGACUGCUACGGGAGGCAGCAGUGAGGAAUAUUGGACAAUGGGGGAGAGCCUGAUCCAGCCAUCCCGCGUGAAGGAUGACGGUGCUAUGGAUGGUAAACUUCUUUUGUACAGGGACAAACCUACCCUCGUGAGGGUAGCUGAAGGUACUGUACGAAUAAGCACCGGCUAACUCCGUG
RNAcentral lists this ribosomal RNA (479 nucleotides) under uncultured bacterium. Its description in RNAcentral is "partial 16S ribosomal RNA". It matches the Rfam family "Bacterial small subunit ribosomal RNA", at positions 28 to 507 of the family's 1533-position model. The record is from RNAcentral.